This 328-nucleotide ribosomal RNA is filed under the name Corbicula sp. Mad4a. Its description in RNAcentral is "partial 28S ribosomal RNA". Lineage: Eukaryota; Metazoa; Mollusca; Bivalvia; Venerida; Cyrenidae. The record is from RNAcentral.
CCGGCCCCCCAACGGCGCUCGCGCAGUUCGGAUCCGCAAGGACCGUUCCGCGUCCGCGUCCGCGUGGGCGUGGUGCACUUUCUCCGCGGUCGAGUGCUACGACCGGUUUCGCGGCGGUCAGAAGCCCGGCGGAAAGGUAGCGCCGCCCCUCGGGGUGUCGUGUUAUAGGCCGCCGCGGUGGACUCGCCGCGAGACCGAGGACGCUUGCCGCGCCGAGCGGUCCCGGGCCGUCUUGGGAGGUUCGACCUCGGCUGCACUGCUCCGCAGAGCACCGUAACCGCCGCCCUAGCACGGGUCCGGAGACUGCCGGCGCCUCGGGUCAGUAGCG